AGAGGAAGUAAAAGUCGUAACAAGGUCUCCGUUGGUGAACCAGCGGAGGGAUCAUUACCGAGUUUACAACUCCCAAACCCCUGUGAACAUACCUAUACGUUGCCUCGGCGGAUCAGCCCGCGCCCCGUAAAACGGGACGGCCCGCCCGAGGACCCUAAACUCUGUUUUUAGUGGAACUUCUGAGUAAAACAAACAAAUAAAUCAAAACUUUCAACAACGGAUCUCUUGGUUCUGGCAUCGAUGAAGAACGCAGCAAAAUGCGAUAAGUAAUGUGAAUUGCAGAAUUCAGUGAAUCAUCGAAUCUUUGAACGCACAUUGCGCCCGCCAGUAUUCUGGCGGGCAUGCCUGUUCGAGCGUCAUUUCAACCCUCAAGCUCAGCUUGGUGUUGGGACUCGCGGUAACCCGCGUUCCCCAAAUCGAUUGGCGGUCACGUCGAGCUUCCAUAGCGUAGUAAUAAUACACCUCGUUACUGGUAAUCGUCGCGGCCACGCCGUAAAACCCCAACUUCUGAAUGUGA
This 517-nucleotide ribosomal RNA is filed under the name Fusarium sp. E19. RNAcentral's name for it is "eukaryotic LSU rRNA". The stretch from base 206 to 359 matches the Rfam family "5.8S ribosomal RNA". The record is from RNAcentral. Lineage: Eukaryota; Fungi; Ascomycota; Sordariomycetes; Hypocreales; Nectriaceae.